This 468-nucleotide ribosomal RNA is filed under the name uncultured bacterium. RNAcentral describes it as "partial 16S ribosomal RNA". It matches the Rfam family "Bacterial small subunit ribosomal RNA", at positions 28 to 507 of the family's 1533-position model. The record is from RNAcentral.
GACGAACGCUGGCGGCGUGCUUAACACAUGCAAGUCGAACGGAAAGGCCCUGCUUUUGUGGGGUGCUCGCGUGGCGAACGGGUGAGUAACACGUGAGUAACCUGCCCUUGACUUUGGGAUAACUUCAGGAAACUGGGGCUAAUACCGGAUAGGAGCUCCUGCUGCAUGGUGGGGGUUGGAACGUUUCGGCGGAUGGGGAUGGACUCGCGGCUUAUCAGCUUGUUGGUGGGGUAGUGGCUUACCAAGGCUUUGACGGGUAGCCGGCCUGAGAGGGUGACCGGCCACAUUGGGACUGAGAGACGGCCCAGACGCCUACGGGAGGCAGCAGUGGGGAAUAUUGCACAAUGAGCGGAAGCCUGAUGCAGCAACGCCGCGUGCGGGAUGACGGCCUUCGGGGUGUAAACCGCUUUCGCCUGUGACGAAGCGGGAGUGACGGUAAUGGGUAAAGAAGCACCGGCUAACUACGUG